GGUCGUAUGCCCGAGUGGUCAGGGAGCCGCCUGCAAAGCGGCCUACGCCGGUUCGAAUCCGGCUACGACCUCCA
Molecule: transfer RNA, 74 nt
Filed under: Actinoplanes ianthinogenes
Lineage: Bacteria; Bacillati; Actinomycetota; Actinomycetes; Micromonosporales; Micromonosporaceae
Description: tRNA-Cys
Rfam family: tRNA
About the family: Transfer RNA (tRNA) molecules are approximately 80 nucleotides in length. Their secondary structure includes four short double-helical elements and three loops (D, anti-codon, and T loops). Further hydrogen bonds mediate the characteristic L-shaped molecular structure. tRNAs have two regions of fundamental functional importance: the anti-codon, which is responsible for specific mRNA codon recognition, and the 3' end, to which the tRNAs corresponding amino acid is attached (by aminoacyl-tRNA synthetases). tRNAs cope with the degeneracy of the genetic code in two manners: having more than one tRNA (with a specific anti-codon) for a particular amino acid; and 'wobble' base-pairing, i.e. permitting non-standard base-pairing at the 3rd anti-codon position.
Source: RNAcentral